UACGUAGGGUCCGAGCGUUGUCCGGAAUUACUGGGCGUAAAGCGUGCGCAGGCGGUUAUGUAAGACAGAUGUGAAAUCCCCGGGCUCAACCUGGGAACUGCAUUCGAUACUGGAUAGCUAGAGUUCGGCAGAGGGAAGCGGAAUUUCGGGUGUAGCGGUGAAAUGCGUAGAUAUCCGAAGGAACAUCAGUGGCGAAGGCGGCUUCCUGGACCAGAACUGACGAUCAGGCACGAAAGCGUGGGGAGCAAACAGG
Molecule: ribosomal RNA, 253 nt
Filed under: uncultured bacterium
Lineage: Bacteria
Description: partial 16S ribosomal RNA
Rfam family: Bacterial small subunit ribosomal RNA
Source: RNAcentral